This 429-nucleotide ribosomal RNA is filed under the name Bacillota bacterium. Its description in RNAcentral is "Firmicutes bacterium partial 16S ribosomal RNA". It matches the Rfam family "Bacterial small subunit ribosomal RNA", at positions 355 to 776 of the family's 1533-position model. The record is from RNAcentral. Lineage: Bacteria; Bacillati; Bacillota.
UUGGGAAUCUUCGGCAAUGGACGGAAGUCUGACCGAGCAACGCCGCGUGAGUGAAGAAGGUUUUCGGAUCGUAAAGCUCUGUUGUUAGAGAAGAACGUUGGUAGGAGUGGAAAAUCUACCAAGUGACGGUAACUAACCAGAAAGGGACGGCUAACUACGUGCCAGCAGCCGCGGUAAUACGUAGGUCCCGAGCGUUGUCCGGAUUUAUUGGGCGUAAAGCGAGCGCAGGCGGUUCUUUAAGUCUGAAGUUAAAGGCAGUGGCUUAACCAUUGUACGCAUUGGAAACUGGAGGAAUUGAGUGCAGCAGGGGAGAGUGGAAUUACAUGUGUAACGGUGAAAUUCGUAGAUAUAUGGAAGACCACCGGUAGCGAAGGCGGCACUCUGGUCUGUAACUGACGCUGAGGCUCGAAAGCGUGGGGAGCAAACAGG